This 7018-nucleotide long non-coding RNA is filed under the name Eucalyptus grandis. RNAcentral describes it as "long non-coding RNA (EGRA_LNC002628)". Lineage: Eukaryota; Viridiplantae; Streptophyta; Magnoliopsida; Myrtales; Myrtaceae. The record is from RNAcentral.
AACCAGGCCUGAUCUAUGAUGUGGGCAUGCCUGACUACAUCCUCUACCUAUGCGCCAUGGGCUACAACGACACCGAGAUCUCUCAUCUGACUGGAAAGCCCGCUCCUUGCCCCGCUAGAAGACCCUCUGUCUCCGAUGUGAACCUCCCCUCCAUAACCAUCCCGAGGCUCACGAGCACUGUCACCGUGACCAGGACCGUCAAGAACACCGGAAACCCUGAGUCGAGAUACUGGGCCGUGAUCGAGCCGCCCUCCGGCACCACGGUGACGGUGAGGCCUCACGUCCUGGCGUUCGAUCCGGAAACCAAGAAGGCCGCCUUCAGCGUCACGGUCUGCGCGGCUGUGCCGGUGAACACGGGGUACUACUUCGGAAGCUUGGUUUGGACCGAUGGAGUGCACGCCGUGAGGAGUCCCCUGGCCGUCAGGGUAUUGAAUCAAACUCCGUUCUACUCAGCUGAAUAGUAAGGCUCAAGUGGCAUCGUUCGCGCAUUGUAAUCCUAACGAAGCAAAUAAAAAAUCGCGUUCGCUUUCGAUUGACAUGGCGGCUGCAUCUGCGAGCUAUUUCCAGAGCCGCGCGUAUUUUCUGACUACGACGAAAUGUCAGGCCAUCCAUUGAGCCGACUCGAGUAAUUAAAAUGCCUUCAAGUUCAAAACGGCCAUUGCAGCUUCAAUCGACGGUCGACAGCUAACAGCAGGAUGAGCACACCAAAGCCCCGCGAUCAUCAAGGCCUUCGCCUGUUUCUUGUCGAAAUCUGUGUUUGACUGCGUGCUUUAGUGUGGUGUCUGGAUUAGUUCGUGUUGAAUUCAUAGUUCUACAUCGAUGUUGCAGUGGAAACUGAUAUGCAAGCCGGAGCAAAUGAUGUAUACGAGGUAACCCAAAAGAACACCGAUACACAAAGUAUAUAAGUUCAUACUUAUGCAAGUUAUAAUGUAUCCAUAUAUCUUUGUGCCAAUAUUUAUAAUUUAUUGGAUCAUAUGGUCAGCUUCUGUGGGUUAUACUCAUUGGAAUGAUGUUUGCUCUCAUCAUCCAAUCGCUGGCUGCUAAUCUCGGAGUGACCACUGGUAAUCAUUCCGUUAAAGAAAUUUAAGGAGGAAUUUAUGACUAUUUUUCCUGCUCGCGAACACUCUUGCAAUUUCUUGAAUGUGAUUAUUGACUUGUCUUUUAUGAAUAUUUCGGAAUUCCAGGCAAACACCUGGCUGAGCUAUGCAAGGUCGAGUAUCCACCGUUGGUGAAGUAUUGUCUAUGGCUUCUGGCUGAAGUGGCCGUCAUAGCCGCCGAUAUACCCGAAGGCAUCUCUCUCUCUCUCUCUCUCAUUAUCAUGCCCUUCAUCAUAUCAGGUCGUAGAACUCAUGUUCGGUAUCUCAUAUUUCCUUUUACGAACUAUUCUUCAGUUGUCACAAAUCUUUAUCGACUUUUUCAUCAAAUGGAGCUGCAUUUACAAGCGUGAUACUGCAAAAUCUUUUACCCUCCUCCCCCCCCCCCCCCCCCCCCCCCCCUCCUUCUCUCUCUCUCUCUCUCGUAUUAAAGCUGUUCAGCACUGUUCUCAACAGUCCUUAUUGAGCUCAAAUGCCGUAAAGGGGUUGAUCCUGGAAAAAUGAGGUUUGAAAGUCAUUUUAGCUCAAGCUUUCUGAUUGAGAAGUCAGUGUUCAGUUUCUAACAAUCUUUCUGGAUCAAUUAUUAUAGACUUAGGGACCCAGCCCGUUGGUGGCAGAGAUGGUGGAGUUGCAUGUUGGCCACCCGCAAGGCCAAAGUUCAACUCCCCAUCUCGUUAUUUGCGCGACUUACUUGCGGCACGUAAGAGGUGGGUCCCUGUGAGUUGUCCCGGGUUUAACCGCCGGCUGCCGGCUGUACGGCACUUCCCGAAUCACCAUAAAAAUAUAUAUAUAUUAUAGACUUAAGGCGCAUUUAAUAACCAUAUUCAAAAAAUAUAUUCCCAGAAUAGAAUUUGGUUUGGCACCAUAUUCAAAAUUUCUACUCCAAACUAUUUUCUUUUAAUUUUUUUAAUUUUAUUAUUAUUAUUAUUAUUUUUCUUUUCUUUCCUUUCUUCUUCUUCAACCUUUGGCAGGUUGCUAACCUCGGGAUGAUUGGCAAUCGACUAGACGAGGGUCGGCGACCUUGCCGAAGCAUCGUCGGCCCUCGGUGAGGCCAUGCCUUGUCGGCUGAGCCUCGUCGGCAACUGGGCGAGGCUUGCCAAUGAUGGGCAAGCCUCCAAUGAGCUCACAGGACCUUGGCCUAGCUUGGUGAGCCUUCGGCGAGGUUGUUGACAGUGGGUGGAGGGUGGCAGCGGUGGCGGCGGUGGAAGAAGAAGAGAGAAGGAAGAAGAACUAAAAGAAAAGAAGAGAAAAGAGAAAAAAUGGGUUGGCUUGAUUCUGGAAUUGUUCUCGAGAGCAAAAAAUCAAUCUUUUUUUACUUUCCAAUUUUACUAUAAAUCUAUUCUCGCAAACAAAUUUAUUUUCUAGAAAAAAAAUUUACCAAAUGAAUUUCUAUUCCAAAUCUACUCUCGGUAAUAUACACCGUUUUGACCACUUAAAUUACUCUAUCUACUAAAUGAGCAAGUUGCAAACGUUAAGGAAACUUCUUAUGCUAGAUCUUACCAAAUUAAGACAAACAUACUGAAGUUUUUGGUUUGGAGGUCUGGGCCCCUGGCAAACCCUCCGUGGAUCUUCCCCCAGUGGAUCAUUAGGAGAUUCUAGAUGAAUUACUCGCUCCUUGUGGCUAAACCUUGUGGUUAAGCAUGAUGUUUUAUGUAGGUUUCUUUCUACCUGCCAUCUUUUUUGGAGGAGUAUGCUUCUCAUAUCUGUUUCUGUGAACCAAAAAUAAUUUUAUUAUGCUUUUUGGGAUGUAUGUUGAAGAAUAUAAGCAGCUCUCAUCUAAAACAGUCAUGAAAUCUCGAUAUUCCGGAUCACUGUCUGAACCCUGCCAGGGGAAUUGAUAUCUUGAAGAACAGAGACUAAUAAAGCCUCAUACAUAUAACUCUGGAUGCAUGACGGUGUUUUGAAAAUACAAUUGAUUAACCAUCUCGACUGUGCAUGUGAACAGUGGAAUUCCUGGCGAUUAUUCGGUCUGGUAUUGCACGAUCCGCAAAAGUUAAAUUAGAUGGACUCGUUUAUAGGCGUGGUAGAUCGAUGGUGCCAAUCAAGUGCAAGGGACACGUAGGAAAUGGGGUUAGUUUCACCCACUUUUUUAUAAGCUAUUCAUCUUCAUAUUCUUCAAGGUGACUACUGUCUGAGGAGAAACUCUUUUACGCAUAAAGGGAUAAUGAAAGUCUGUGGUCUGGCCUUCACUCCUCAUUCUUGAAGCCAAGAAAACCCCCGUUAGCGUCACCUUUUAAGAUAAGUGACCCUUAAAACUUUAGGGGACCUCUAAACUUGGAGGCCCUUGUAUGACCAAACUCUGUUUUUACUGCAUAUUAUUUCCUAUAUUCGUGCCCUUUAUUGUUGUUUAAUCAGUGGGAUCUUGAACAAGAACCACCCCUUCAAAUUAUGGCCUUGAUCACAAAGCAACAUGUUCAAAUCAGGAGCGAGGUCAUUAUCUGGUUUGACCUUACUUGGUUUCCACAUCUUUUGAAUUCUUGGUGUGGAUUGCACUGCUUUUGUGCCUGACCUUGCAAGCUCCCCUUCAAGGAUACUUAAAAGUGGGCAUUGUCGUUCUCUAUCGCAUCGAGUUUCUAUAUUGGGUAGUUGCUAAAGCAGCAAGCGAUCGAUCUCAUGAUCCUGAUAUUCACUUCAUCUCUUUGUCAAAAUCACGAAACAUCGGCAACACACCACGAUGAGAAACUUGGCAACUUCGCUGGUGGUCGCAUGUUUUCUUCUUGGGCAAUGGGGCAUUACCAGAACGGUGAAGGCAAAGAGCAAUGUGUGUGAAUCUCAUGCUUUUAACGUGUUUCUCUGUGAUUCUGUUUUCUCUUAGAAAGGAAGCAAUCCUGGCAAAUUUAUGGGCAGGUUUAUAUUGUGUACUUUGGAGUGAGGAAGCAAGGCGAUCCCACAGUGGAGACCGAUUCGCAUCAUGACAUGCUUGCAUCAGUACUUGGGAGGUAAAAGGAGUUUCGAAACUUUUGAAAAGAACAACAAAAGCAGGUGUUUUGAUUCAGUUCCUAAUGGCGUGGUCCGGUGACCAUCUGCUUUUUUCUCUGUUCUCUGGAACGUGUUAAUUCUGCUUCAGCAAGGAAGCGGCCGCCAUAUCGAUCUUGUACAGCUAUAGGCAUGGCUUCUCUGGUUUUGCUGCGAAGCUUACUGAGUCUCAGGCACAAGAACUCGCCGGUAUGUCAGUGUAUAAUUAAUUUGCAUUCUUUUGCUAGACCUGCAGAUCAUUUCGUGCGCUUGCACUUCAGCAUUUGUUCAUGUUUCAGGAUUCCCUGGGGUCGUCCGCGUUAUGCCUAAUACCCUUUUCCGCCUGCAAACUACUCGGAGCUGGGAUUUCCUUGGUCUGUCUCCCUCUCAUUCACCCACCAGUCUCCUUUACAAAAGCAGGAUGGGUGAUGGAGUUAUAGUAGGCAUGAUAGAUACAGGUCGAUUUUGUCUCUACAUCUUUGCCCUCUUUCUCUGUUUCUAGAUUAAACCAUGUCACUAGCUUUAUGUUUCACACAAUGUAGCAGGAAUUUGGCCGGAGUCAAAGUCAUUCAGCGAUGAAGGCCUUGGACCGAUCCCGUCGCGCUGGAAAGGUGGUUGCGAACCGGCGGAGCAAUUCGAUCCAGCCAAACACUGCAACAGAAAGAUAAUAGGGGCUCGCUGGUUCGUGGAUGGAUUCCUCGCAGAGUAUGGAAAACCAUUGAAUGCCUCGGGGGACCUGGAGUUCUUGUCGCCGAGAGACGCAAAUGGACAUGGGACUCACACGUCCAGCACCGCCGUGGGUUCUUUUGUGAGCAAUGUCAGUUACAGAGGAAUUGGGUAUGGAACGGCGAGAGGUGGUGCUCCCCGUGCCCGGCUAGCGGUGUACAAGGUGUGCUGGAAUGUGCUCAACGUACAGUGCUCGUCUGCAGACAUAUUGAAAGCAUUUGACGAGGCAAUUCAUGAUGGAGUGGACGUGCUGUCUGUGUCUAUUGGGACUGCGAUUCCUCUCUUCUCCGAUGUGGAUGACCGAGAUGCCAUUGCUACCGGUGCAUUCCAUGCUGUGGCACAAGGAAUAACUGUAGUUUGUGGAGCCGGCAAUGAUGGACCGGCGGCUCAAACAGUGCAGAACACAGCGCCGUGGAUACUAACUGUCGGAGCAACUUCCAUCGACCGAGCCUUCCGUACUAUCAUAACCCUCGGAAACAAUGAAACGUUAGUGGUAUGUGUUGCUAUUUGAGGUUUAGCAGAUGAAAGUAUCCUAGGAAUUUUGCACCAAGUGUGUGAUGAGUUGCUUAUUGCUCUCUAAGGGCCAAGCCAUAUACACAGGAAAGGAAAUCGGUUUUACGACUUUGCUAUAUCCAGAAGGCACAACCCUCGAUCCUACUUCGGCAGGGUUAGACCAUCUGCUCAUCUGAUGAUUCUGUUACCGUUAAUUGCGGACAGAGAAAGCUAAAGCUGCUAAUCUUCUCUUGAAUUGAUCACAGGGUAUGUGAACGUCUCUCCCCUAAUGCAACAUUGAUGGCUGGGAAAGUGGUCCUGUGCUUCACCUCCAUAGCACGUAGGUUUGAGGUAGUACCACUCGCCUCAGCGGCUGUGAAGGCGUCUAGGGGCAUUGGCGUGAUUGUUGCCAAGAACCCUAGUGACGGGUUGGCUCCGUGCAGCGGCGACUUCCCAUGUGUCGAGGUGGAUUACGAGAUUGGAACCCAAAUUCUAGUCUACUUCCGCUCGGCAAGGUAUGUCAUGACAGUCUUCGUCAUGUUGCGGUUUGUCGAAACCUAAAGCUAAUCACUCACACAGAAUUGAAUGACCGUUUUCAUGGAUCCUGCACAGAUUCCCUAAGGUAAAGUUGAGCCCGACAAUAACUGCUGUCGGCAAAGCAGUCCAGGCAAAGGUCGCCUUCUUCUCUUCCAGAGGGCCGAGCUCUAUUUCUCCAGCUGUUCUCAAGGUACAUCUGGUUCUUAACUGAGUCCUUCGGCCAUUGGCCGUCCAGUUUGUAGUUCUCCGGGUACAUUCGACUCGCGGGAGUUCCAUGAAAGUGGUUCGAGACUCUCGGAAACAUACCCUCAUCUGCUAUUUACCGUCUUUACCGCUGUUCAACUUGUGUGAAAUUUUCAAAUUUUCGCAAAACUAGGAGCAUGUGCUGAUUCUAGCUCGUUUGAAGUUUCAUGGAGUAUCAAAAGAUCAUCAACUAGUCUCUUCUGCACAAUCAAAAAGAGAUAGAAACAUCUGCUUUGAUGUUGUUCUGUGACACAGCCAGAUGUAACAGCACCCGGGGUGAACAUACUGGCCGCCACUUCGCCCUUCAGUCCGUCGGAGGACAAUGGAUACAGGAUACUCUCGGGAACUUCUAUGGCCACCCCUCACGUUGCGGGCAUCGUGGCGCUCCUCAAAGCGCUUCACCCGGAUUGGUCGCCGGCGGCAUUUAGAUCAGCCCUUGUGACUACUGGUAUUUCUCCAACUCAACUGAAUCGCGAAACAGUUCUUUAAGAUCGACUUCUUGCCUUUUUGGUCCGCGGAGUGACCGGCGAACAUAUUGCAUCAGCUAAUACGUUCAGAGACGUUAACAUUAGAUGAUGUUCCAUCAAUCAGAACACCGCUCAAGUGAUUAAGCAUUGCUGAUAUUAAAAGCCUUUUUUGCAGCCUGGAGGACCAACCCGCCGGGUUUUCCCAUAUUUGCCUCAGGAUUUCCUCCGAAACUGGCCGACCCGUUCGACAUGGGAGGCGGCAAUGUGAACCCGAACUCCGCGGCCGAACCAGGCCUAAUCUACGACGUGGGCACGCCUGACUACAUCCUCUACCUAUGCGCCAUGGGCUACAACGACACCGAGAUCUCUCAUCUGACCGGAAAGCCCGCUCCUUGCCCCGCUAGAAGACCCUCUGUCUCCGAUGUGAACCUCCCCUCCAUAACCAUCGCGAGGCUCACGAGCACUGUCACCGUGACCAGGACCGUCACGAACACCGGAAACCCC